AUCAAUGAAAGAAAAGUGUAGCGGAAAGCCAAGUAUACUUCUCAUUUUUUAUACUUUGUCACAAUGUCGGAUAUUGACGAAAAUGAUAAUAUUGAUAUUGAUGACGAGGUUUUAAUUGCAAUUGUGCAACAAAAUCCUUGUUUGUAUGCAAAAAGUGACGCAAAUUAUAAAGAUUAUAAAGUGAAAGAAAUGAAGUGGGAAACGAUUGCUGAGUCUCUGAAUUGCACAGCCAAUGAAGCUAAAAAGCGUUGGGAUUCCUUAAGGAGUGAAAUUUAGCAGAAAGUUGCGACAGCAGAAAAUACAGCCAUCGGAUUCUGGUGUAAUGCCAGAAUGGCCCUUUAUGUCAUGCAUGUCAUUUCUAAAAUCUCAUAUUCAAAACAGAAAAACAAGAAGUUCGACAUUACUACGCACUACAUCCUCUACAUGUAGUGAACUCUCUAAUAGUUGCUCAAUUAAUUAAUUCAUCUGUUCGUCAAUCACCUGCUUCUGUUCAUCAGUUAUCUACUUCUGUUGGUCAAUCACCUACUUCUGUUCGUCAAUCAUCUACUUCUAUUUAUCAAUCAUCUACUUUUGUCACUGCAACUCCAUCAUGUUCGACUUCAAGCACUCAGUUUUUUAGACUUUCUGAUUGGUACGAUGAUUCUAAUGCAUCAUUA
Molecule: long non-coding RNA, 656 nt
Organism: Mycetomoellerius zeteki
Lineage: Eukaryota; Metazoa; Arthropoda; Insecta; Hymenoptera; Formicidae
Exons: 3
Source: RefSeq, a predicted model, not a curated record